This 1444-nucleotide ribosomal RNA is filed under the name uncultured bacterium. Its description in RNAcentral is "bacterial SSU rRNA". It matches the Rfam family "Bacterial small subunit ribosomal RNA". The record is from RNAcentral.
GAGUUUGAUCCUGGCUCAGAACGUACGCUGGCGGCACGCCUAACACAUGCAAGUCGAACGAAGUAGCAAUACUUAGUGGCAGACGGGUGAGUAACAUGUAGGUAUCUUCCCUUUGGCCCGGAAUAACACGAGGAAACUUGUGCUAAUACCAGAUAAGUCUUUACGGAGAAAGCUUUAUGCACCAUUGGAUGAGCCUGCACUUGAUUAGUUUGUUGGUAGGGUAAUGGCCUACCAAGACUAUGAUCAAUAGCUGAUUUGAGAGGAUGAUCAGCCACAUUGGGACUGAGACACGGCCCAAACUCCUACGGGAGGCAGCAGUGGGGAAUAUUGCACAAUGGAGGAAACUCUGAUGCAGCGAUGCCGCGUGAGUGAAGAAGGCCCUUGGGUUGUAAAGCUCUUUCGUCGGGGAAGAAAAUGACUGUACCCGAAUAAGAAGGUCCGGCUAACUUCGUGCCAGCAGCCGCGGUAAUACGAAGGGACCUAGCGUAGUUCGGAAUUACUGGGCUUAAAGAGUUCGUAGGUGGUUGAAAAAGUUGGUGGUGAAAUCCCAGAGCUUAACUCUGGAACUGCCAUCAAAACUUUUCAGCUAGAGUUUGAUAGAGGAAAGCAGAAUUUCUAGUGUAGAGGUGAAAUUCGUAGAUAUUAGAAAGAAUACCAAUUGCGAAAGGCAGCUUUCUGGAUCAUUACUGACACUGAGGAACGAAAGCAUGGGUAGCGAAGAGGAUUAGAUACCCUCGUAGUCCAUGCCGUAAACGAUGUGUGUUAGACGUUUGGAAAUUUAUUUUUCAGUGUCGCAGCGAAAGCGAUAAACACACCGCCUGGGGGAGUACGGACCGCAAGGUUAAAACUCAAAUGAAUUGACGGGGACCCGCACAAGUAGUGGAGCAUGUGGUUUAAUUUCGAAGAUACGCGCAGAACCUUACCAACACUUGACAUGUUCGUCGCGACUUUAAGAGAUUAAAGUUUUCGGUUCGGCCGGACGAAACACAGGUGCUGCAUGGCUGUCGUCAGCUCGUGUCGUGAGAUGUUGGGUUAAGUCCCGCAACGAGCGCAACCCUCACUUUUAGUUGCCAUCAUUAAGUUGGGCACUCUGAAAGAACUGCCAGUGAUAAGCUGGAGGAAGGUGGGGAUGACGUCAAGUCCUCAUGGCCCUUACGUGUUGGGCUACACACGUGCUACAAUGGUAUCUACAACAGGAAGCAAGACGGCGACGUCAAGCAAAUCCUUAAAAGAUACCUCAGUUCGGAUUGCACUCUGCAACUCGAGUGCAUGAAGCUGGAAUUACUAGUAAUCGUGGAUCAGCGUGCCACGGUGAAUGCGUUCCCGGGUCUUGUACACACCGCCCGUCACACCAUGGGAGUUGGUUCUACCUUAAGGCAAGGUUUUAAACCCUUGACCACGGUAUAGUCAGCGACUGGGGUGAAGUCGUAACAAGGUAACCGUA